Non-coding RNA from Drosophila virilis, 434 nucleotides. The record is from Rfam. Lineage: Eukaryota; Metazoa; Arthropoda; Insecta; Diptera; Drosophilidae.
CAACCUCAACUCAUAUGGGACUACCCCCUGAAUUUAAGCAUAUUAAUUAGGGGAGGAAAAGAAACUAACAAGGAUUUUCUUAGUAGCGGCGAGCGAAAAGAAAUCAGUUCAGCACUAAGUCACUUUGUCUAUAUGGCAAAUGUGAGAUGCAGUGUACGGAACAUCAACAUUCUAGUAUGAGAAGUUAACGAUUUAAGUCCUUCUUAAAUGAGGCCAUUUACCCAUAGAGGGUGCCAGGCCCGUAUAACGUUAAUGAUUACUAGAUGGUGUUUCCAAAGAGUCGUGUUGCUUGAUAGUGCAGCACUAAGUGGGUGGUAAACUCCAUCUAAAACUAAAUAUAACCAUGAGACCGAUAGUAAACAAGUACCGUGAGGGAAAGUUGAAAAGAACUCUGAAUAGAGAGUUAAAUAGUACGUGAAACUGCUUAGAGGUUA